GACGAAGAACGUAGCGAAAUGCGAUAAGUAAUGUGAAUUGCAGAAUUCAGUGAAUCAUCGAAUCUUUGAACGCACAUUGCGCCCGCCAGCAUUCUGGCGGGCAUGCCUGUUCGAGCGUCAUUUCAACCCUCGAGCCCCCCCGGGGGCCUCGGUGUUGGGGGACGGCACACCAGCCGCCCCCGAAAUGCAGUGGCGACCCCGCCGCAGCCUCCCCUGCGUAGUAGCACACACCUCGCACCGGAGCGCGGAGGCGGUCACGCCGUAAAACGCCCAACUUUCUUAGAGUUGACCUCGGAUCAGGUAGGAAUACCCGCUGAACUUAAGCAUAUCAAUAAGCGGAGGA
RNAcentral lists this unclassified non-coding RNA (343 nucleotides) under soil metagenome. Its description in RNAcentral is "partial contains 5.8S ribosomal RNA, internal transcribed spacer 2, and large subunit ribosomal RNA". The stretch from base 1 to 120 matches the Rfam family "5.8S ribosomal RNA", at positions 35 to 154 of the family's 154-position model. The record is from RNAcentral.